AACCAGAGGGGGAGUGGGAGUAGAAUGUCCCAGCAAGCAGGCUGGAUGAGUCACGUGCUAGCCAUGCCAACGCCCGGUUUAGCGAAGGGGUAGCAUCAGAGCGUGUGAAUAUAAGGCAACUGGCAGUUGGAACAGAGUUCCUUUCAGUAACUGGCUGGACACCUGGAAGACACCUAAGAACUUAUGAAACAACAUUGCUCUGUGUCUAAGAGAAGAAAGAAAGAAAGAAAGAAAGAGAAAGAAAGAAGAAAGAGAAAGAAAGAAAGAAGAGAGAGAGGAAGAAAGAAAGAAAAAAGAAAGAAAAAAAAGAAAGAAGAAAGAAAGAAGAGAGAGAAAGAAAGAAAAAAGAAAGAAAGAAGAGAGAGAGAAAGAAAGAAAGAAAGAAGAGAGAGAGAAAGAAAAAAGAAAGAAAGAAAGAAAGAAAGAAAGAAAGAAAGAAAGAAGAGAGAGAGAAAGAAAGAAGAGAGAGAGAGAGAGAAAGAAAGGAAGGAAGGAAGGAAAGAAAGAAAGAAAGACUUCUAAAAGAGACAUUUUCAAUAUUUCUUACAAACACAAAGUAAGAGGAAAACUAAUUUAAAUAAGUAACUAUACAUCAAAAUGAAGCCAAUCAUUUCAAGGAUAUUAGGGCAAUCCUCAGUUUUCUUCAAAAGAAAUUGACAUUUCGAAACUAACAGAAGAGGCUUUCAGAGAGAACCCAAUGAAACACAUGGAAGGAUAAAGAAGCUUGUUAAAUCUUU
Long non-coding RNA from Pantherophis guttatus, 737 nucleotides. RefSeq lists it as uncharacterized. NCBI's taxonomy places the organism in Eukaryota, Metazoa, Chordata, Lepidosauria, Squamata, Colubridae. The record is from RefSeq and is a predicted model, not a curated record.